UUUUCUCCCCGAAUGGCCCGAAAAUGUUGACACUCUCUCUGUUCAUCAAUCAAACCACGAUCAGCCUUUUCUCUUCUUCUGUAUCUCUCUUUCUCAUUCCCAACAAUCAGUCUCUUUCUUCUCUCAACUCUUGAAAACCCCUCUCUCAUCUGGAGCUGUGAUUCAACUCGUUGAAACUCUCUCACUCAUUGCUCUCAGAACCAGAGCUGCGAUUUAACUCUUCAAAACUCUGGUCAGUGCUCAUUCUCUCAUCCCUCUCGUCUCUGUGUUGGGUAAAGAAAAACUCAGGUCAGUGAUCCCUCUGUCAUCUCUCUCGUCUCUGUGUUGGGUAAAGAAACUGGAGCCGAUUCACUCUUCAAAACCCUUUCGCUUAUCUCUCUCUCAUCCCACUCGUCUUUGUGUUGGGUGGACAAACUGAAGUUGACUCCUCUCAUACAAACUUGAUAUUGCAAAACUAGGGUUUUGCUUUGGCAUAAAUUCCUGUACAUAUUCAUAAAUUGUGACUGUUUGGAUACAUUUGGGAUACGCGAGGAUACUUUAGGGAUACGCUUGGAUACUUUCAGGAUACGGCGGGGCGAAAAAAUAAUUUAAAAAACUUAUAAUGGGGUCAAAUUGUAAAAUAACAAAAGUUAUGUAACAUAAAACAAAAAAAAAACAACCAACCAAGCCCUAGCAGCAGCAGCAAAGAAGGAGGAACAGCAGCAUCGUCUCUCUGGACAGUAGCGUCGUCGAUCAGGUUCGCGAACAGCAGCGUCGUCGUCGUCGAUCAGAGUAAUAAGGCACACUGCAAUUACUUCAAGUUCACAAAUGAUGAUGAUGAUGAGGAUGUUACCUCCACAUACUAUUCCAAUAUUGGAGCUCGUCAUGCUAUAACAACAGAAGAAUUUAACGAGCUAAGGGCAAUACUUUCUGAGAUGGAAAAUGAAAUUCAUGACCAUGGUUGAAGGCUUCAAAGGAUGGAGAAGAAAUUGAAGGCGAUGAUUUACGUUAUUGUGUUUUGUAUGAUUUUGUACUUGAUGAUGCAAAUUACUGGCUUGUUAGUUUUUGUUAGUUUUGGGGUAAUUUGAUGGCUUGUGGGGCUAUGUUGUCAUGAAAUGAAUGUGGGCAUAUCUUUGUAGGUGGAAACGAAUAUUUUGUUGAUGUGGUUGAUAUAAUAUGAUCUUCUUAGCUCAUUUUGUUUGGAAA
Molecule: long non-coding RNA, 1185 nt
Organism: Camellia sinensis
Lineage: Eukaryota; Viridiplantae; Streptophyta; Magnoliopsida; Ericales; Theaceae
Source: RefSeq, a predicted model, not a curated record